GGUUCUAUAGUGUAGCCGGUUAUCACAGCGGAUUCUGAUUCCGCUAACCCGAGUUCGAAUCUCGGUAGGACCU
Molecule: transfer RNA, 73 nt
Filed under: Coemansia sp. RSA 1646
Lineage: Eukaryota; Fungi; Kickxellomycota; Kickxellomycetes; Kickxellales; Kickxellaceae
Also listed under: 4 other names
Description: tRNA-Gln
Rfam family: tRNA
About the family: Transfer RNA (tRNA) molecules are approximately 80 nucleotides in length. Their secondary structure includes four short double-helical elements and three loops (D, anti-codon, and T loops).
Source: RNAcentral